GGGGAAUUUUCCGCAAUGGGCGAAAGCCUGACGGAGCAAUACCGCGUGAGGGAGGAAGGCUCUUGGGUUGUAAACCUCUUUUCUCAGGGAAGAACACAAUGACGGUACCUGAGGAAUCAGCAUCGGCUAACUCCGUGCCAGCAGCCGCGGUAAUACGGAGGAUGCAAGCGUUAUCCGGAAUGAUUGGGCGUAAAGCGUCCGCAGGUGGCUGUGUAAGUCUGCUGUCAAAGAGCGAAGCUCAACUUCGUAAAGGCAGUGGAAACUACACGGCUAGAGUGCGUUCGGGGCAGAGGGAAUUCCUGGUGUAGCGGUGAAAUGCGUAGAGAUCAGGAAGAACACCGGUGGCGAAGGCGCUCUGCUAGGCCGCAACUGACACUGAGGGACGAAAGCUAGGGGAGCGAAUGGGAUUAGAUACCCCAGUAGUCCUAGCUGUAAACGAUGGAUACUAGGCGUGGCUUGUAUCGACCCGAGCCGUGCCGUAGCUAACGCGUUAAGUAUCCCGCCUGGGGAGUACGCACGCAAGUGUGAAACUCAAAGGAAUUGACGGGGGCCCGCACAAGCGGUGGAGUAUGUGGUUUAAUUCGAUGCAACGCGAAGAACCUUACCAAGGCUUGACAUGUCGCGAAUCUGAUUGAAAGGUCAGAGUGCCUUCGGGAGCGCGAACACAGGUGGUGCAUGGCUGUCGUCAGCUCGUGUCGUGAGAUGUUGGGUUAAGUCCCGCAACGAGCGCAACCCUCGUUUUUAGUUGCCAGCAUUAAGUUGGGCACUCUAGAGAGACUGCCGGUGACAAACCGGAGGAAGGUGGGGAUGACGUCAAGUCAGCAUGCCCCUUACGCCUUGGGCUACACACGUACUACAAUGCUACGGACAGAGGGCAGCAAGCUAGCGAUAGCAAGCUAAUCCCAUAAACCGUGGCUCAGUUCAGAUCGAAGGCUGCAACUCGCCUUCGUGAAGGAGGAAUCGCUAGUAAUUGCAGGUCAGCAUACUGCAGUGAAUUCGUUCCCGGGCCUUGUACACACCGCCCGUCACACCAUGGAAGCUGGCAACGCCCGAAGUCAUUACUCCACCAUUCGUGGGGGAGGAUGCCUAAGGCAGUGCUGGUGACUGGGGUGAAGUCGUAACAAGGUAGCCGUACCGGAAGGUGUGGCUGGAUCACCUCCU
RNAcentral lists this ribosomal RNA (1161 nucleotides) under Nostoc sp. HA4355-MV2. RNAcentral's name for it is "bacterial SSU rRNA". It matches the Rfam family "Bacterial small subunit ribosomal RNA", at positions 356 to 1531 of the family's 1533-position model. The record is from RNAcentral. Lineage: Bacteria; Bacillati; Cyanobacteriota; Cyanophyceae; Nostocales; Nostocaceae.